RNAcentral lists this unclassified non-coding RNA (4068 nucleotides) under Ooceraea biroi (clonal raider ant). RNAcentral describes it as "gTP-binding protein Rit2, transcript variant X4". The record is from RNAcentral. Lineage: Eukaryota; Metazoa; Arthropoda; Insecta; Hymenoptera; Formicidae.
CUAAAUGUGUGCCAGACAUACGAUUUGUGUGCGUAAAUCGCUGAAUAAAUUUCUAAGGUUUUUAUUUAGUCAAGGAGAAUUCCCUUUAUGUGCCAUAAGGUUGCUUUAUUUCAAGAUAAAACGCCAUUCAUGCCAUUGCGUUGCUUUUUAAUUAAAGCGGUUGUAGCCAAAUUUUUUGGCCCCGAGUGAAAAAUAAAAAAAAGUUCUAAUACGGAGCCGUGGCGUCACCUACCAAUGUUUGUUCGAAUUAUGAUUUCGCGGGUGGCGGCGUUCGAGCUACGGCUAAGGUCGGACGAGAAAGAAGCGGCAGGUUGUACGACUGCCGAAGCUGGCCGAGGCGCAGCGCGCACACGUACGCGGUCGCUCUCUCGUGUGCGUAUCCCCCUCCACGCGUUAGCAUGUUGCAGCGUCUCGCUGGCAUCACCGCGGUCACCAGUCGUCGUGUUCCCGUGAUCUCGUCGAGUCUGGUUCCGGUGGCUUAUGCGGAUUUGCCGUCGCGGCGGACGCAGUCGAUGCCCGUUCCGUUGAUUCGAGCAGGACCGUACCGCACGGCAGCGCGAGGAUCCAGGAGUGCCGGCGUACCGUUCUCGCGUCAGAUAUGAGCCACGCUUGGCUACGCUUUUCACGUGCGUCGCAGAGUGGCCGCCGGCGGCAGCGCGGGUGUGUCCGCUGAAUCGAUCGCGUUCCGAUACGGUGCGAUCGAGUGUGUCAGUCACCUCGCCGACGGCCGACGGGAGCGUGUCGGCGCCUUCGCGGUCGCUAGGACCGCGCGCGCGCGCGCGUACGCGGGUGCGCACCGUGUCGGUAUGCACAGUCGACCACCAGCCACCGCGAUGUCGACGGUGGCCGAGCCGCAGGAACGCAACAUCGCCUACAACGGCAAGGACAACGUGUCAGCUGUGGUGGUGCAGCCUACCACUACCAGGUGCAGACUCAGGGUCUACAAGAUCGUAGUGCUAGGCGAUGGUGGCGUUGGCAAAUCAGCCGUCACGCUGCAGUUUGUCAGUCACAGAUUUCUGGAUUAUCAUGAUCCUACUAUAGAGGACUCAUAUCAGAAGCAAGUGGUUAUCGAUGGCGAGGCAGCUCUCUUGGAUAUUUUGGACACAGCUGGACAGGUGGAGUUCACAGCCAUGCGCGAGCAGUACAUGAGGUGCGGAGAAGGUUUCAUGAUAUGUUACUCCGUGACGGAUAGACAUAGCUUCCAAGAGAUAAUGGAGUACAGGAAACUAAUAUCGCGGGUGCGCGCCAACGAGGAGAUUCCUCUGGUGUUGGUCGGCAACAAGUUUGAUCUGCAGCAUCAUCGAAAGGUGAGCAUGGAGGAGGGUAAGGCACUGGCAAAGGAACUAGGUUGUCCGUUUUACGAGACGUCCGCUGCGCUCAGGCAAUUCAUAGACGACGCGUUCUUCUCGUUGAUCAGGCAGAUCCGCGCCAAGGAGAAGUCCCGCAACCGCAAGCGCAGCCGCUGGUGGCGGAUUCGUUCGAUAUUCGCGUUCAUCUUCCGGCGGAAACAGAGGCACCUUUCCCAUCAUUCGCUUUAAAACCGUUUCGAUAGUGAGCCUCCUACUAGCAAGAUUAUUGAAAUCAAAGGCAGCAAUAGGACGAGUGUAAUAUCAAGAGGGUUCGCAACGAAGUAAGCGUAUUAAUUGCCCAUAGCUUUUUAUAACUCACACAGUAGUCUUGUUUAGAGACUGACGAUUUGUCAACACCACACUGCCUUAUCGUUGACCCCAUAUACUCUGGAUACGGCAAGGUGAAAUUGUCAGAGACAGACUGGAAAGCGCACUUGUAUUUAAUCUGAGAUCUCAGAUUAGUCAAUCACUCGUGCUACUCGGCAUUUUCUCCUACGAUGACAGCAGUCUCUCUUCCAUGAUUUAUCUCUCAAAGGCUGUUAACGUACAUUCACGUUCAUUUAGGCUUCGUGAAGCAAUCAGUGAUGAGAUGACGAAGCUAAAUGCCGAAAGUAUCCAACUUUAGUUAGAUAUUUCGACUGUCUCAAGUAAAGUCUCUCUAUUCUAACUCUGAUUGUAAUAAACUCCGAUCUGUAGACUUUAGUUUGCUACUAGCAGCUGAUUACGUGACCAAAGAGAAGUAUAUGAAACAUUAAGACGAAGUGGCAAGUGCAAGAUAUUAUAUAAGAGCUUCGUAACAGAGAUUGUUGCAAUUUUACAUGAGAGAUUAUUGCGCUCCAAGUGGUAAAUGAUAAACUGAAUUUAUUUAUUCUAAUUUAAUUCACCAUGUAAAUAUGAGAGAAAUGUUAUAUAAGUAUUAAAUGAUUUUAUAUAAAAGAGAUUGAUUUUUAGAAUGUACAUUCUAUAAAUAUGUACUCUAAAAAUUAUAUACGCGCGCGCGAUAACUUUGUCCAAGUUACAAUAAGUUGCAAAGUUUAAGAUUGUUGCAUUACGUGAAUCAUGUGAUCUCCAAGAUAUUUCAAAGAGAUAUUUCUCAAGAGAAAUAUAUCAUAAAAUACGUCUGCCAUAAAUACGGACAAUUAAACUGGCGAUAUAAGCAACUAUUAUACAUUAUUUCUAUACAUUACCAAUAUACGACAGCUCCAGGAGAAAUACUGUAUAGAUUUUUAACAUAAUUAUGACUCUUAUGCAUGUGUUGUACAGUUACAGUGCACAACAUUGCAGUUUGAUUGCAAUUUAAUUUUUGUUGACGAUUUGACGAUAAAUGCCUCGAUCAUAUAUGCAGCUCUUCAAGUAUAGAAUUAUGUUUAUAUAAGUUGAAAUUAAUAAAUUGUUCACACACUAAUUAUUUCUUCAUCUAACAUUUAAUGUGAAUUAAUGGCACAAAAUGUUUAUAAUAGUAGUAGAAUAUAAAUUUGCACUGAUAUGUGUAUAUUUUAUAUAUAUAUAAACAAGGGAAAGAGAGAAUUAUUUAGAUGUAAGCACCUGCAUAGUAAUUGUCUAGUCGUUACUUAAAUUGUCCUAGUCACAUUUUGCAUUUUGUUGUAAUACAUUAAUUUAUAUUAGUUUAAUUACAUAGUUUAAACGUUGAUCAAUGUGCACUUUUAUAUGUUAUUACUUGUAAUAUUAUAUAUCAAAUAAAUAUCUUUAUCUAUAAAAAUAUAAUUUAAUCUAUUUAAAACGCAGUUUCUUUUAUUUAUUAAUAAAUACUAAUUUACUCCGUAAUAAUAAUGUACAAUGUACUUUUGAUAAUUUUGCCAAAGUUUCGCAAUAUAAUUAAUACAAAAUGGCUAUCAAGUAAACUUUCUUUUCCUCUUUGUCUAUCUCUCUCUCUCUCUCCCUCUCUCGCUCGCUCACUUUCUUUACUAAUAAAUAAUAGUUAUAUGUAUUUUAAAAAAAGAGAAAUUGCCAUAAGAUGCGAUAUUGCAAAUGAAAUAUUCAUACUUUCACAUAUCAGUGAGAAGUAUUGUUAUUUUAGAGCUAUUAUUUUCUAAUUAACGACGUAUAAAAUCAAAUUACGUAAACUGAGAAUUGUAAUAUGUAUAUGACAUUAUUGUUAAUUAUAUAUAAAAAUGUUUAUAUAUAAGUAAAUUGAUACAUGUCACGAAUAAUUAAAUUAUAUCGUCGUUUUAUACAACAUUUAGUUAAAUAUAAAAUGGAUUAAAUAUGAAAUAUAAUUUCGCGCAGAUAAUAAAUUCCGCAUGUGUAAUAACCAUGAGAGUAUCGUGAAUGGAAAAUGUAACAACAAGCAUAUAAAGAAUAUUUAAAAUGUAUAAGGUCGACAUAAUAAUUAAUGAUUGCUUGCAUAUUACAUUUUUAUUUGAUGUUACGCAUGUACAUACAUUUGUUAUAAGAAUUCCGUAAACUUUUAAUAACGUGUACUUAAAAAGAAACCUCUAAUUUAGAUGUAAUUUCUUUAUUUAACAGAUAGCAAGUUCGAUUGAUGGCACAAAUAAAUAUCAUAUAUAAAAAUUGUAAGAAUUUCGCGAUAUAAAAUAUAUAUAUUCCAUAUGCUGGCUAAAGCAUUGAUCUAAUACAAAACUAAAAUAUUUUGUAUACUAUUAAUACAAAAUAAUUUUACAGUAAGUAAUAAUUAUUGAAGAAAUAAAAUUUUAAAAUCAUACUUGUAUUAUAUCUGAAUAUAUUUCGUUAUUACAAA